Molecule: ribosomal RNA, 840 nt
Filed under: uncultured bacterium
Lineage: Bacteria
Description: bacterial SSU rRNA
Rfam family: Bacterial small subunit ribosomal RNA
Source: RNAcentral
GCUUUACACAUGCAAGUCGAACGGCAGCACGGACUUCGGUCUGGUGGCGAGUGGCGAACGGGUGAGUAAUAUAUCGGAACGUAUCCAAUAAUGGGGGAUAACUAAUCGAAAGGUUGGCUAAUACCGCAUACGCCCUACGGGGGAAAGCUAGGGACCUUCGGGCCUGGCGUUAAUGGAGCGGCCGAUAUCUGACUAGCUAGUUGGUGGGGUAAAAGCCCACCAAGGCGACGAUCAGUAGCUGGUCUGAGAGGACGACCAGCCACACUGGAACUGAGACACGGUCCAGACUCCUACGGGAGGCAGCAGUGGGGAAUUUUGGACAAUGGGCGCAAGCCUGAUCCAGCCAUUCCGCGUGAGUGAAGAAGGCCUUCGGGUUGUAAAGCUCUUUCGCAAGGGAAGAAAGAUUGCUCUCUAACGUAGAGUGAUUAUGACGGUACCCUGAUAAGAAGCACCGGCUAACUACGUGCCAGCAGCCGCGGUAAUACGUAGGGUGCGAGCGUUAAUCGGAAUUACUGGGCGUAAAGCGUGCGCAGGCGGUUUUGUAAGUCAGAUGUGAAAUCCCCGAGCUCAACUUGGGAACUGCGUUUGAAACUACAAGACUAGAAUAUGUCAGAGGGGGGUAGAAUUCCACGUGUAGCAGUGAAAUGCGUAGAGAUGUGGAGGAAUACCAAUGGCGAAGGCAGCCCCCUGGGAUAAUAUUGACGCUCAUGCACGAAAGCGUGGGGAGCAAACAGGAUUAGAUACCCUGGUAGUCCACGCCCUAAACGAUGUCUACUAGUUGUUGGUGGAGUAAAAUCCAUGAGUAACGCAGCUAACGCGUGAAGUAGACCGCCUGGGGAG